GGAGUUGUGGCUCAGUGAUAGAGCACACACCUUGCACGGGUGAGGCACUGGGUUCGAUCCUCAGCACCA
Molecule: transfer RNA, 69 nt
Filed under: Ictidomys tridecemlineatus (thirteen-lined ground squirrel)
Lineage: Eukaryota; Metazoa; Chordata; Mammalia; Rodentia; Sciuridae
Description: Spermophilus tridecemlineatus (thirteen-lined ground squirrel) tRNA
Rfam family: tRNA
About the family: Transfer RNA (tRNA) molecules are approximately 80 nucleotides in length. Their secondary structure includes four short double-helical elements and three loops (D, anti-codon, and T loops).
Source: Rfam by way of RNAcentral